AAGACCCGCAAAACUUUAAUAUGCAUCUGUUAAUUGCAACUCAACUGCUUUAAUUAAGCUAGAGUCUC
Molecule: transfer RNA, 68 nt
Filed under: Rhoptropus montanus
Lineage: Eukaryota; Metazoa; Chordata; Lepidosauria; Squamata; Gekkonidae
Description: Rhoptropus boultoni montanus tRNA-Ala
Source: RNAcentral